RNAcentral lists this long non-coding RNA (339 nucleotides) under Mus spicilegus (steppe mouse). RNAcentral's name for it is "lncRNA (ENSMSIG00000015496.1)". The record is from RNAcentral. Lineage: Eukaryota; Metazoa; Chordata; Mammalia; Rodentia; Muridae.
UUUUAUUCCACUCAGCUAGCUCAUUUUUUCUCCCUCCUUAGAAUCUGACAGGCCAAGGAGAAUUCUGAUUUCAAAGGGAUGCUUAGAAUCUGUACUGAUGCCAUCUAGAAAUGUAAAUGCUCAGUGUCACACUGCUAAGGGAGAAAGGGUUCCAUUGAUAUUGUUGACAUGGGAGGCUGUUACAGUGUGAGGCUGCUACUUGGAGCUUCAUGAAAUUUCACAGACGUCACCAUUAGACCAAGCCUCGAAUACCUGAGUCUUUGUGGAACAUGAUGGAUUGACAACAAAAUGCUUCUUACUGAGGUAAUGGAAACUAAUGUCUACAUUAAUUAAUUGCCA